RNAcentral lists this transfer RNA (72 nucleotides) under Bos taurus (domestic cattle). It matches the Rfam family "tRNA". From Rfam's summary of the family: Transfer RNA (tRNA) molecules are approximately 80 nucleotides in length. Their secondary structure includes four short double-helical elements and three loops (D, anti-codon, and T loops). The record is from Rfam by way of RNAcentral. RNAcentral also lists the same sequence under 3 other names. Lineage: Eukaryota; Metazoa; Chordata; Mammalia; Artiodactyla; Bovidae.
UCCCUGGUGGCUCAGAGGGUAAAGCGUCUGCCUACAAUGCAGGAGACCUGGGUUCAAUUCCUGGGUUGGAAA